UUUAACCAUUUUGUAUCUUAGGAGUAAAAUCAUUUUUGUUUUGAUUAUUAUUAAUUCAUAUUUUAUCAUUUUACUGCUUUACUCAGUCGAGGCGUGUUUGUUGCCUGAAGAUUGAUUUUUUUUGUUUUGUUUUAUCAUGAACGGCUCAUCCAUCUCUCCUUUAUAAUAAUACUCCUCCUUCAAGUCGAACAUUAUAUUUUAUACAUAUAUACAUUAUACAUAUAUACAUUAUACUCAAAGUCCCAUUUAAAAUCAGUUUCUAUAAAAUGGAUGUCUUUUAUGAUGUCAUGAUACUGAUAAAUAAUAAACGUCCAAAUGUGUAUUAUUAUUUAUUCAUGUCCUUAUUAUAAUUAUUAUAAAUAAUUAUAUACUUCAUAAUUUAUUAUUUAACCUUACAAAGUCUAACAGAGAAAUAUCCUUCCAAAGCACAAACGUACAUUUAAUACAGACAGAAAUUUAUUAUGGAUAUUAAAAAAAUUUUUUUUUAAACACCCUUUGAAGUUUGGUCCUAACAUAAAAAAGUAUAAGAAUAAAUACAAAUGUUUAAAUCAUCAUAAAUGCCAUUAUAAACCACAACCAAAAUAAAGAAGCAUUAAGAAGUAUUAGAAACCUCACAAACACUACGGCAGGAUUUUAAUAUUCUAUAAAACUUCAUAAAACACUUGCUGUAUUUUACUGUAUUUUGGCCAGAAAAAAAGAAAGAAAGAAAAAAAGUAAUUCAAAUAAUAGUUGGACCCAUCUGAUAUAAACAUUAAAAAAUAUAUAGGUUAUAGCUGAGAAUAUCAAAUAAAAUGCAUCAUCAUUCAGGUUUUGAUUUUCGAUAAACACAUUUUAUAUAUGAAUUGGUUUUAGAUUACACCAGUUUUCAAUUCAAAAACUAAGAAAUAUUCCAGAAUAAGAAUCUUAAGUCCUUCUUAAUACAUUAAAAUGUGACGUACACUAAAGAACAAAAAUAGCCAUUUCCUUCACUGCAAAAUAUAUGAUAAAAUACACUUCACAUAGGUAUACAUACAAGUGUGUGUGUGUGUGUGUGUGUGAGAGAGAGAGAGAGAGAGAGAGAGUGAGUAUUAUUUAUCUUCUAUUUUUGUUUUCUGUAUUUGCUCUACACGUUCUUCACAUAUCAGUGUAUCAUAGUAUAUUAAUUAAAAUAAAUGAAAAGAUAUGCACUUAAAAAAUAACUGGAUAUUAUAUAGAAUAAAUCAAAAGGAAUUCUGGCUGCAGUCUUGUACCAGAUGGGAUGUGUA
This is a long non-coding RNA of Ictalurus punctatus (channel catfish), 1244 nucleotides long. The record is from Ensembl. Lineage: Eukaryota; Metazoa; Chordata; Actinopteri; Siluriformes; Ictaluridae.